RNAcentral lists this ribosomal RNA (350 nucleotides) under uncultured bacterium. RNAcentral's name for it is "bacterial SSU rRNA". It matches the Rfam family "Bacterial small subunit ribosomal RNA", at positions 29 to 376 of the family's 1533-position model. The record is from RNAcentral.
AGUGAACGCUGGCGGCGUGCUUAACACAUGCAAGUCGAACGAGAAACGGUCUAGCUUGCUAGAUGCAGUCUAAGUGGCGCACGGGUGAGUAAUAUAUAGGUAAUAUGCCUCUUACUAAGGGAUAACAGAUGGAAACGUCUGCUAAUACCUUAUAUGCCUUUAGGACUAAAGUCCGCAAGGGAAAGAUUUAUCGGUAAAGAGAUUAGCCUGUACAGUAUCAGUUAGUGGUGAGGUAAUGGCUCACCAAGACUAUGACACUUAACUGGUUUGAGAGGAUGAUCAGUCACACUGGAACUGAGACACGGUCCAGACUCCUACGGGAGCAGCAGUGGGAAUAUUGCACAAUGGAC